UGUGAAGAACUUCGGCAUCUGGC
This 23-nucleotide non-coding RNA is filed under the name Rattus norvegicus (Norway rat). Lineage: Eukaryota; Metazoa; Chordata; Mammalia; Rodentia; Muridae. The record is from RNAcentral.